UUAUCACGUUCCCACGAGUUAUUAUGUCGUGGCCACGACAAAACUAAGUAAACCGAACAAGUAACCUUAUGGGCACCGUAGCUAUGUUACUAUAUUGAUUGAUCAAUAAAAUAAAGGAUUAAGUGUAUUUGCGGUCAUUCCACAAAUUAAUUUAAAAUAUGCAGAUACAUGUGAUUUGUACAUUGCUGGAAAAUGAUGGGAUCAAUGAUCCACAAUGCCUCAAUAGUUGGCUUUAGUUUGAAACAAAUGACUAUUUCUUAUAACUUAGAGUGUCAACAUAACCUUGACAAAACAUCAUAAUUUCUGAGCAGGAACUUGUGCACUGUCGCUGGAGAAAUUAACUUCCCUUAUUUCCUGGAAUAAGUCACAUUUGGUGUAUGCUUGUUUAGUACAUUUCCUUUUGGCCCAAAAUGUGUAUAAAAAAAAAAAACAUAUGAAUUGAAAAUGUAUUGCAUGUUACAAUGCAUAACCAUCAUUGGGGUCAAAAUAAAUACAUUUAUGUUUAUGAAUCGGUUUAUUUAAUAAUUUGUUUUUAAUUAGUUUAUUGAUAAUUGAUAAUCAGCCAUAUAUUAUAUUAGAGAUGUUCGUGGAACAGAGGUUUAAAUAUUCUUUAUUCUGAGACAUGAGACAGGAAUUCCUCUUUUUGGAGUAAAGGUUUUUCCCAGUUCAGUUCCUCAUAGUGAUGACUAAACCUGACUGGACCGGUUUAAAGUUUUGUAAUUGGGACAUUUAUUGUACCCCGCAUAGUUUUGUGGUUAGAGGAUGAGUAAUUUGUCUACUUAAAUAAGAACCUGUAAGGGCUUCCAUUCCACUCGUUCUUUCAGUUUGAAGGAAACAGGAGCAACUCUAACAUUAGAUCCCGGAGGACAGAGAAGGGUUGACUGCAUCCAUGAUAAGAAGCAUGUUUCACAUCCAAGGACAACGAAGUUGGAAACUCCUGCUGUGUAUUUUGUCAUCAUUGAUCGUAGGCGUUGUGAUGGGGCAGCGCAGCGUCGGCAGCAAAAGUGAUUGUGCUAAAAAUGAAUACUGGAGCGACGGGCUCUGCUGUGACAAAUGUGCUCCAGGGUAUAAGUUGGUAAGAAAAUGCACUAGAGACUUGCCAUCUCAAUGUCAGAAAUGUGAGAACGGGACAUUCCUAGACAAAAUGAAUUAUUUCCCAAACUGCUUCAGAUGCGAGAAAUGCACCAAGCCAUAUGCGGUGGUGAUUUCACCAUGUACACCCCAAAAUAACACCGUGUGUGGAUGUCAGUCCGGAUACUUCAAAAAGUCCUUUGAUAGCAUUACAUGGGAAUGUAAAAAAGAAAGGAAAAAAUGGCAUGGCAGGAACCAUUAUUGUGUUCUCUCAAAAAUUGAUGGGAUAUUAGCUUGAAGUAUGACUCAAGAACACAGCUCUACAUCCAGAAGAGGCAUCAUGCCCUUUCAUGCCCAUUCAUGCCCAUUCAGAUUUUAAAGCCAAGUGGAUUUUGAAUGCAGCUUCCAAAAGCAAAAAUAAGCGAUUUAUAUUUUCUGCUGUGUGAGAAUGUUCAGCGAGUCAUAUCAUUAGCUGCUAAAUUCAGAUCUGCAUUCGCUGGCUGGCGCGCUUUUACAGGACUGCACAUAAUUAUCACCAAUCACACAAGAUUCUGUUGAGCUUGUUAAAGCAUUAGCCAAUCAAAGGUGUUCCGAUGAGUCACCUGAAUACCUCUUUCUGGCAAAUUCUCUCGUCAGAAACAACAAAGAGCAGAUGUGUGUGCGAAUCUUUAAAUAAGAUAUUAAUUUCACAGUAUUAACAGUUUCAAUGAUUUUAAUGGGAGUUUUUGAGAUUGAUUUAACUCUAGACUGUCAGUGAAAAUGUUCUUUGCUCUCUUUCUUUACAAUGAAAUAUUAAUAGCCUAACUUACAACGUUUUUAUUAUAAAGGCAGUCAUAUUAAAAUAUAUUAUGGCAUGACACCCAUAUCUUUUACUUAAGUAAACAGACAGGUUUUUAUACUUAUUUAAUAUAUUACAUUAUUAGGCUACUUUGACACUCGCAUAUUAUCAAAUAAAUAAUCAAUGAAGGUGAGAAUCGAGAUAUUUCAUGGUAUAGUUAAUAUGUCUGGGAAUGUUACUAAUAAAAAUUACAAAUAUAAAUAAUGCUUAAUAAUAAUUUGCCAAUAUGCUGUUGUGGCCACUGUGUGUCACAUGACGACCCCCCCCCCCAACCCACUCAUGCCCUCUCAAAAAUAAUGAGUGCAUGACCCCUCUGACCUCCAGCAUGAACAAAUACCUCUGACAAUAAAUGAGAUUCUUGUGGGAAAGACUGAGUUGGGUGAAAGCCUACUGUAUACAAUCUAUACCAUGUUCCUCUUGACUGGUAGUUCAUGAUUUUAUUAUUAAGUAAAAGGCCUUUUAGUAUAAUUAUUUAAAAAAAUCCACCUUCAGGUCAUGGAACAUAACUUUUAUAAGGUUAGUAAAAAUAUUUCAAGACAAGCAUUUACUGGACUGAAAAAAAAACUAAAUUUUUGGGUUCAUCUAAUUAUUCAUAUGAAUGUAAUGGAAGGUUCUUAUACAUUAUAAGAUGACUAUUAGUUUUUUUCACUCUGUAAUCACGCACUUUACAGUAUUUAAGUGGUGUACUUUUAAAGGUAUCAAACAAAAGACUUGAACAUUUCUUUGUACUGUACAUAUCUCAAUCAUUGUAUUGCAUUAUAUUUUUUUAAAUAAAAAAUGACAACUGA
Molecule: long non-coding RNA, 2697 nt
Organism: Carassius auratus (goldfish)
Lineage: Eukaryota; Metazoa; Chordata; Actinopteri; Cypriniformes; Cyprinidae
Exons: 5
Source: RefSeq, a predicted model, not a curated record